RNAcentral lists this ribosomal RNA (425 nucleotides) under uncultured bacterium. Its description in RNAcentral is "partial 16S ribosomal RNA". It matches the Rfam family "Bacterial small subunit ribosomal RNA", at positions 354 to 796 of the family's 1533-position model. The record is from RNAcentral.
GUGGGGAAUCUUGCGCAAUGGGCGAAAGCCUGACGCAGCCAUGCCGCGUGAAUGAUGAAGGUCUUAGGAUUGUAAAAUUCUUUCACCGGGGACGAUAAUGACGGUACCCGGAGAAGAAGCUCCGGCUAACUUCGUGCCAGCAGCCGCGGUAAUACGAAGGGGGCUAGCGUUGCUCGGAAUUACUGGGCGUAAAGGGCGCGUAGGCGGACAGCUUAGUCAGAGGUGAAAGCCCAGGGCUCAACCUUGGAAUUGCCUUUGAUACUGGCUGUCUUGAGUUUGGGAGAGGUGAGUGGAACUCCGAGUGUAGAGGUGAAAUUCGUAGAUAUUCGGAAGAACACCAGUGGCGAAGGCGACUCACUGGCCCAAUACUGACGCUGAGGCGCGAAAGCGUGGGGAGCAAACAGGAUUAGAUACCCUGGCAGUCC